AAGUAAUGGUGUCUUAAUCACGG
RNAcentral lists this non-coding RNA (23 nucleotides) under Arabidopsis thaliana (thale cress). Lineage: Eukaryota; Viridiplantae; Streptophyta; Magnoliopsida; Brassicales; Brassicaceae. The record is from RNAcentral.